AACGAACGCUGGCGGCAUGCCUAACACAUGCAAGUCGAACGAGACCUUCGGGUCUAGUGGCGCACGGGUGCGUAACGCGUGGGAACCUGCCCUUAGGUUCGGAAUAACUCCCCGAAAGGGGUGCUAAUACCGGAUAAUGUCUUCGGACCAAAGAUUUAUCGCCUUUGGAUGGGCCCGCGUUGGAUUAGCUAGUUGGUAGGGUAAAAGCCUACCAAGGCGACGAUCCAUAGCUGGUCUGAGAGGAUGAUCAGCCACACUGGGACUGAGACACGGCCCAGACUCCUACGGGAGGCAGCAGUGGGGAAUAUUGGACAAUGGGCGAAAGCCUGAUCCAGCAAUGCCGCGUGAGUGGUGAAGGCCUUAGGGUUGUAAAGCUCUUUUACCCGGGAUGAUAAUGGCAGUACCGGGAGAAUAAGCUCCGGCUAACUCCGUG
This 433-nucleotide ribosomal RNA is filed under the name uncultured bacterium. Its description in RNAcentral is "partial 16S ribosomal RNA". It matches the Rfam family "Bacterial small subunit ribosomal RNA", at positions 29 to 507 of the family's 1533-position model. The record is from RNAcentral.